This 2157-nucleotide long non-coding RNA is filed under the name Zea mays. Its description in RNAcentral is "long non-coding RNA (ZMAY_LNC000227)". Lineage: Eukaryota; Viridiplantae; Streptophyta; Magnoliopsida; Poales; Poaceae. The record is from RNAcentral.
UAGUGGUCUACCAGAGAGGGCACAUGUGCCUCAAUUGGCCUAUAGCAUAGCGGCUCAUUAUCCUUCCACCGCUGGUGGCGGGCGGUACUCGCUGCUCUGUGAAGCCAGCCUCACGCAGUGUCCGCCACUUUAGGUGUUGGGAUGCAAAGGCUUUCGCCAACGCACCCGAAACCCACUACACAAGUUGGAAUGGGUGGUCCACAGUUUGUAGCACUAGACCCAGGCACAUGCACCACAAUUGACAUCCACACUACCUUAUUGCCCCCGCUCGGGUUACAAGCAAUCGCUACUUGCUCAGCGAGUGAGGGGGUUCAGGACUACCUAUUUAUGGUGGUGUUGUACUCUAUGAGCCGGCGGUGUGGUAUUUACCAACUACAAAUAGUGUCAUGCAUGUGACUUGCUAGUUGACAAAGUCUGUUGUCGAGCUAGAUGUGGGCUAUGGAUGAAGCACAUUACGAUAUAGUAGGCCUAUUUUGUUUUUUGUUGUUUUUGGGCCAAUAUGGACUUUAUGUUGAUGUUGUGAAAUUUUUUCUUGUGUUUUCUCUUCCUACGAUGUGGAAAGUGGGUGCGUCAGAGAAGAAAGAAAGAGUGGCUAGAAUUGAUUUUACGUCAUACCAUUGAGAACACUACUCAGAAGCAGAAGCAACAAUAUUUCAUACAUAUACAACACUUGUAAUCCAUAUAAACAACUUUCCUUUAAAAUAUAAUAUAAACCACAUGAUUUAUAUCCUGGGUCGGCUAUCUCCACAAAGGGCAAGAAAACGCUCCUAAGUUUGUAGUAUAGAACUAAGAGUAUCGACUCUCACGAUUUCUUCCCGACAUAUGCAAACUAGACAGUAAUAACAUAAAAUAAAGAAAUAUGUGUUAACAUGAACUUAUCACAUGUAUUUCAACAUAUAGAUUGUUGAUUAUUAUGGUAGAUUAUAUAAUAUAGGGGUUCCCGAAGAAAUACAUAAAAAACAAGAGCAUUAAAAUUUCCUUUUCAGAUUUGGCUAACUGGUAAAGGGAGUUGGAGUAUCUGAGUUUCCAAAUUUGGGACGUCGCUCUAUAGAAGGAAUAUAAAUACGUUGGAAAAAUUCUACAAGGAAAGGUUUAAUACAAGUAGGGCUAAGAAAAACUCAAUGAGGCUUUGGUCGCAUGGUCACAAGACUUGAGACAAGAAACACAAAGACACCAAAGUAAUUAGUAUGAGAGUUUUCCAAGUUUGGUGUCUUGAUGUAGAAAAAAUAAAUAUAUGACAAACAUGUUUUUUCGCAAGGCAUGGUAAAGUAAGUGGGAGUGAGCAAUAAAUUUCAUCCUAGAUUUAGAAGGAACAAAUAUAUCACUAAAUACGUUUUUUCACAAUGCCAAGUUAACCAGGCGGGACCGAUAAACAAUUCUAGCAAGACUAGGUUGUACUAGCCAGAAACUACAUACAACAAAGGAAAAAUGAAGAAAAUGAUGGUCUACCAGAUAUGGCGCAUGAGCCUUAAGGUGCACCUAGAGGGAAGUAGAAGAAAUAAAUAUAUAAUAGGAUAUGUUUUUCGCAAUGCAAGGUAAAGUGUAGAUGUGCUCUAACUGGGCUAAGAUUGCAGCGAUACAUUAUGCAUCCACAAGGUUGGCACAUGGAAAAAGAUAGAGAGAGAAAUGUAGACGUAGGACCAGGAGAAGAACAUUCAAUGAGACAUGAUUGCACGGACAUAGAACUAGAUAUAAGACAAGAGUUAAAGAAAAAUAAAGGAACUAAAUUUUCUUUUGCACACUAAGUAUGAAUGGAGUUGUAGUAUCUGAUAUCAAAAAUUAAUUUAUUUCAAGAUGCAGAACAAAAUUGUGAUACUCGUAAUGGUUACAUAGGAACAAAAGUAGAUAAGAAAAAUAGCAAAAAGAUAGUGGUCUACCAGAGAGGGCACAUGUGCCUCAAUUGGCCUAUAGCAUAGCGGCUCAUUAUCCUUCCACCGCUGGUGGCGGGCGAUACACGCUGCUCUAUGAAGCCAGCCUCACGAAAUGUCCGCCACUUUAGGUCUUGGGAUGCAAAGGCUUUCGCCAAGGCACCCGAAACCCACUACACAACUUGGAAUGGGUGGUCCACAGUUUGUAGCACUAGACCCAGGCACAUGCACCACAAUUGACAUCCACACUACCUUAUUGCCCCCGCUCGGGUUACAAGCAAUCGCUACU